AGAGUUUGAUCCUGGCUCAGGAUGAACGCUGGCGGCGUGCCUAAUACAUGCAAGUCGAACGCUUUGUCUUUAAUUGAUCUGACGAGCUUGCUCUGAUGUGAUUUUAUCUGACAAAGAGUGGCGAACGGGUGAGUAACACGUGGGUAACCUACCUCUUAGCAGGGGAUAACACUUGGAAACAAGUGCUAAUACCGUAUAAUACUAACAACCGCAUGGUUGUUAGUUGAAAGAUGGUUCUGCUAUCACUAAGAGAUGGACCCGCGGUGCAUUAGCUAGUUGGUAAGGUAACGGCUUACCAAGGCAAUGAUGCAUAGCCGAGUUGAGAGACUGAUCGGCCACAAUGGGACUGAGACACGGCCCAUACUCCUACGGGAGGCAGCAGUAGGGAAUCUUCCACAAUGGGCGCAAGCCUGAUGGAGCAACGCCGCGUGUGUGAUGAAGGGUUUCGGCUCGUAAAACACUGUUAUAAGAGAAGAACGGCACUGAGAGUAACUGUUCAGUGUGUGACGGUAUCUUACCAGAAAGGAACGGCUAAAUACGUGCCAGCAGCCGCGGUAAUACGUAUGUUCCAAGCGUUAUCCGGAUUUAUUGGGCGUAAAGCGAGCGCAGACGGUUAUUUAAGUCUGAAGUGAAAGCCCUCAGCUCAACUGAGGAAUGGCUUUGGAAACUGGAUGACUUGAGUGCAGUAGAGGAAAGUGGAACUCCAUGUGUAGCGGUGAAAUGCGUAGAUAUAUGGAAGAACACCAGUGGCGAAGGCGGCUUUCUGGACUGUAACUGACGUUGAGGCUCGAAAGUGUGGGUAGCAAACAGGAUUAGAUACCCUGGUAGUCCACACCGUAAACGAUGAGUGCUAGAUGUUCGAGGGUUUCCGC
This 872-nucleotide ribosomal RNA is filed under the name uncultured bacterium. Its description in RNAcentral is "bacterial SSU rRNA". It matches the Rfam family "Bacterial small subunit ribosomal RNA", at positions 8 to 837 of the family's 1533-position model. The record is from RNAcentral.